RNAcentral lists this ribosomal RNA (492 nucleotides) under uncultured bacterium. Its description in RNAcentral is "partial 16S ribosomal RNA". It matches the Rfam family "Bacterial small subunit ribosomal RNA", at positions 29 to 507 of the family's 1533-position model. The record is from RNAcentral.
AGUGAACGCUGGCGGUAGGCCUAACACAUGCAAGUCGAACGGCAGCACAGUAAGAGCUUGCUCUUACGGGUGGCGAGUGGCGGACGGGUGAGGAAUACAUCGGAAUCUACUUUUUCGUGGGGGGUAACGUAGGGAAACUUACGCUAAUACCGCAUACGACCUACGGGUGAAAGCAGGGGAUCUUCGGGCCUUGCGCGAUUGAAUGAGCCGAUGUCGGAUUAGCUAGUUGGCGGGGUAAAGGCCCACCAAGGCGACGAUCCGUAGCUGGUCUGAGAGGAUGAUCAGCCACACUGGAACUGAGACACGGUCCAGACUCCUACGGGAGGCAGCAGUGGGGAAUAUUGGACAAUGGGCGCAAGCCUGAUCCAGCCAUACCGCGUGGGUGAAGAAGGCCUUCGGGUUGUAAAGCCCUUUUGUUGGGAAAGAAAAGCAGCAGGUUAAUACCCCGCUGUUCUGACGGUACCCAAAGAAUAAGCACCGGCUAACUUCGUG